Molecule: small nucleolar RNA, 79 nt
Filed under: Ichthyophthirius multifiliis strain G5
Lineage: Eukaryota; Ciliophora; Oligohymenophorea; Hymenostomatida
Description: Small nucleolar RNA SNORD24
Rfam family: Small nucleolar RNA SNORD24
About the family: U24 is a member of the C/D class of snoRNA which contain the C (UGAUGA) and D (CUGA) box motifs. C/D box snoRNAs have been shown to act as methylation guides for a number of RNA targets. U24 is encoded within an intron of the gene for ribosomal protein L7a in mammals, chicken and Fugu.
Source: Rfam by way of RNAcentral
UAUAAUAUGAUGACAAUAUAUUUGCUACUCUUGACUCUUUUUAAGAGUAUGACGAUUUACCACCAAGAUCUCUGAUUUA